AGAACGAACGCUGGCGGCGUGCUUAACACAUGCAAGUCGAACGUGAUUCAGAGCUUGCUCUGAUGAAAGUGGCGCACGGGUGAGUAACGCGUGGAUAACCUGCCCUGGUAUCUGGGAUAACAUCUCGAAAGGGGUGCUAAUACCGGAUAAGCCUCCGGGAUCUUCGGAUUCUGCAGGAAAAGAGGCCUCUAUUUAUAAGCUUUCGUAUCAGGAUGGGUCCGCGUACCAUUAGCUAGUUGGUGGGGUAAUGGCCUACCAAGGCGACGAUGGUUAGCUGGUCUGAGAGGAUGAUCAGCCACACUGGAACUGAGACACGGUCCAGACUCCUACGGGAGGCAGCAGUGGGGAAUUUGC
Molecule: ribosomal RNA, 354 nt
Filed under: uncultured soil bacterium
Lineage: Bacteria
Description: bacterial SSU rRNA
Rfam family: Bacterial small subunit ribosomal RNA
Source: RNAcentral